This 61-nucleotide transfer RNA is filed under the name Dipodomys ordii (Ord's kangaroo rat). It matches the Rfam family "tRNA". Rfam says of the family: Transfer RNA (tRNA) molecules are approximately 80 nucleotides in length. Their secondary structure includes four short double-helical elements and three loops (D, anti-codon, and T loops). Further hydrogen bonds mediate the characteristic L-shaped molecular structure. tRNAs have two regions of fundamental functional importance: the anti-codon, which is responsible for specific mRNA codon recognition, and the 3' end, to which the tRNAs corresponding amino acid is attached (by aminoacyl-tRNA synthetases). tRNAs cope with the degeneracy of the genetic code in two manners: having more than one tRNA (with a specific anti-codon) for a particular amino acid; and 'wobble' base-pairing, i.e. permitting non-standard base-pairing at the 3rd anti-codon position. The record is from Rfam by way of RNAcentral. Lineage: Eukaryota; Metazoa; Chordata; Mammalia; Rodentia; Heteromyidae.
GGUGCUGUGGCUCAAGUGGUAGAGUGCUUGCCUUGAGUUCAAGAGGUGAAGGACAGCACCU